GUUUUCCUUCAGAGAUUAUUCACAGAUGUCCCACAGCCCAUAGCAAAUACAGGGCAUAUUAAGUUCAAAUAAAUAUAUGCAAAUAUGUGUGGAAAUGGCCUGUAGCCUGCAGGAGCCUGAGGAGAAGAGAGGAGCUAGCAGCCCCAGUCAAGUCUAGCGAAGUGCAUCUUGGCCUGCAGUGAUGGCUGUUUCCCCCAGAAAGUUCUUCCACUUCUGGAUCCCACCUCGACUGAACCUUACACAAUCUACUGCUGGACUUUCCAAUGGCAUGAGUUGGAUGCAAAUCACAGGCAGAUGAUUCCCAAAGACUCUUCUCCUCCGCCCAGAUCUUGAUGUCCUACCAUCCCCUGAAGUUGAUGUAUGUGGGGUUCUGAAAGGUCUCAACACGUGGCAGUAGGCAGCAGAAUUAAUUCCCUGUGCCUCCUGCAAUUCCCUGAGCCUCCCUUUCUCAAAACGCCAGCUUUCUCACAAGGAUAGCCUGAGACAUACGGAAGUGGGAAUGAUGUUCUGUUCUCAGGUGAAGUGUUUGUGCAUAUGUGUGUGUCGGGGGAGAGGAAGGUAAGCAAAACCAGUUGUUCUCAGAUGACUUGCAGCACCUGAGCAUGUCCUUUAUUUUAUCUUUUUUUUAAAAAAAAUACUUAAUAGCAUUUUCACUUCCUAGUUUCUCCAUUAUGUUGAAGUUGAAUAGUCUUUGGUAGGUCUUGUCUUACUUUUCAAGAACAUUAUGGGAAUUCUGCAAAAAGAUAGCUACAUGCAAAGCUAUCAUUUCUAUUGUUACAAAAAUAUGUGACACACUUACCUUAUGCUAUCAAAGAUGAAUGCUAUCCUCCACAUAUCCUUUAAAUGGGCUUCACAAGAAGAGGAUGGUCCCAUUUCUGAACAUUGCCUUGUCAAUGGAUGAGGAGGUUUGCACUCAGUCAAACUGGUUAAGCUAGAAUCAUAUUUCCCUAAAUCUCUUGUCCUGUUUAUUUCCAGGUGAUGAUUGGCCAAUAAAAUAAAUUUAGACGUGAUUUGGAUAGUAAAAAUGAAGCCACAGUCACUGAUCACUGAAGAUCAUUGUGGGUACAGGUGGGAGCUAAGAGCUAGCAAGGUAUCAGUGGGAUUUACAAGUCUUUUCUUUAUUCUUUAUCCUGCUCUUCUUGUCAAUUGCCAGAUUUCCUGACCAACAAAGGGCCCAGGCCGACUGCCACAAGUCUGAAUGCAGACCUGCAGAAGCAGCAGCAACUCAAAAGGACAGCAUUCCACAGACCUUCCCUGCACUGCCCUUCAUAGCCCACUCUGCAGCUGGACCUGCCUACUCGCCAUACACCCUGAAAGCUCCCACUUAUCCACCUAACCUCAACUUGCUCUAGUGUUCGAGGAGGGCUGAGUGGUGGUUUUCCUCGGGCCUUCCAACACUUGCCCUUCUCCCCCAAGUAUUACAAGCCCUCAUUCUAAAUAUAUCCCUGAUUUCAUAAUACUAAUAGAAGUGCUGCUUCUCUGAUUAAACCCUGACUGACACAUGGAGUGUUUUAUUACCAUUUAAUAAACAUCAUGUCAAACCUAAUGAUUUACGGUCAACAUAAAUUACACAGGGAAGGUGAGCAAAAGAAUCCCUUUCCUUUUUGCCUCUAUGCUGUUCUAGUUUCAGCUGGCCUGAGCUUCCCUCUCUUGGACUCUUCAGUCUAACAGCUAACCCAUAUAUGACACAAAGAUCAAAGGUCAGAUUCUUGGGCUCCAUUAAGGCUGCUACUUUAAAUGACAGCACUAUUUAUGGACUCUUUAUUGAAGACAGAUCACCCUUGGAGGCUGCCACAACCUUUACUCAUAAAUCAGACAUCAAGUGCCUCUUGGGGGCUAAAUACUGCCUCUCCUGUUGAAGACAUGAAGGGGUGUAACAUAUACUCAAUUUGCUGCCACACAAGGAUUUAGAAUCUGCUUACUCCCUCAACCUAGGACUCAAGGUCCAGACAAGGAAAUUUGAUUUUUUUUUUCUUCCUUUUUCUUUCCCUGCCAGCCACACACACCAG
This 2009-nucleotide long non-coding RNA is filed under the name Homo sapiens (human). RNAcentral describes it as "HSALNT0371339". The record is from RNAcentral. Lineage: Eukaryota; Metazoa; Chordata; Mammalia; Primates; Hominidae.